RNAcentral lists this ribosomal RNA (275 nucleotides) under Calamagrostis pickeringii. RNAcentral describes it as "partial 18S ribosomal RNA". It matches the Rfam family "Eukaryotic small subunit ribosomal RNA", at positions 1561 to 1831 of the family's 1831-position model. Lineage: Eukaryota; Viridiplantae; Streptophyta; Magnoliopsida; Poales; Poaceae. The record is from RNAcentral.
UUCAUCGUGAUGGGGAUAGAUCAUUGCAAUUGUUGGUCUUCAACGAGGAAUGCCUAGUAAGCGCGAGUCAUCAGCUCGCGUUGACUACGUCCCUGCCCUUUGUACACACCGCCCGUCGCUCCUACCGAUUGAAUGGUCCGGUGAAGUGUUCGGAUCGCGGCGACGGGGGCGGUUCGCCGCCCUCGACGUCGCGAGAAGUCCAUUGAACCUUAUCAUUUAGAGGAAGGAGAAGUCGUAACAAGGUUUCCGUAGGUGAACCUGCGGAAGGAUCAUUG